GGGGAAUAUUGGACAAUGGGGGCAACCCUGAUCCAGCCAUGCCGCGUGUGUGAAGAAGGCCUUCGGGUUGUAAAGCACUUUAGGUCGGGAGGAAGGUUCGCUGGCUAAUAUCCAGCGGAAUUGACGUUACCGACAGAAUAAGCACCGGCUAACUUCGUGCCAGCAGCCGCGGUAAUACGAGGGGUGCAAGCGUUAAUCGGAAUUACUGGGCGUAAAGCGCGCGUAGGCGGCUUGAUAAGUCGGAUGUGAAAGCCCUGGGCUCAACCUGGGAACUGCAUUCGAUACUGUCGAGCUAGAGUGUGGGAGAGGGUGGUGGAAUUCCCGGUGUAGCGGUGAAAUGCGUAGAUAUCGGGAGGAACAUCAGUGGCGAAGGCGACCGCCUGGCCCAACACUGACGCUGAGGUGCGAAAGCGUGGGUAGCAAAC
This 425-nucleotide ribosomal RNA is filed under the name uncultured bacterium. RNAcentral's name for it is "bacterial SSU rRNA". It matches the Rfam family "Bacterial small subunit ribosomal RNA", at positions 356 to 773 of the family's 1533-position model. The record is from RNAcentral.